Molecule: long non-coding RNA, 737 nt
Organism: Sebastes umbrosus (honeycomb rockfish)
Lineage: Eukaryota; Metazoa; Chordata; Actinopteri; Perciformes; Sebastidae
Exons: 3
Source: RefSeq, a predicted model, not a curated record
UGUUAAACACACACACUGACACACACAGGCAAAAGGCCCAUCAAUAAUUAGGGUUAAUAUGAUCUCACUUGAACCUGAGAGGGGAUGUGUUAGUCUGCUCUUCACAGCUCUUGCAAGUGUGUGACAAAGAGAGAGAGAGGGUGUGUGUGUGUCAUGUGUCAUGAAGCUGCUCUGUGAUGGUCAACCUCUAAACGCUCCAGUAACGCACUUUGGCGGCUGCAGCGGGUGUAGAUGGCAUCUCCAUUUGCUGAGCUGGAGGUGUUGAUGAUCAUGUUCUCUCUCCUGGUGUUCGCCCUCUUCACACUCACGGGGAUGCUCAACGAGGCAUGUGCACGCUCAAAUGAGACAAACUCACAACCACAGAGUGAGGAGCUGAUCGUCUGACGAGGUUCAUGACUGAGAAUGAAAAACUUCAGAAAGCAACAGCUGUCUCGUUCUUCCUGUUCAGUGGCUUAUGAUGACGUGUCAGUCUUGUGUGUGUGUGUUUUAUCAGUUACCAGAGCAAAGUCUAAUUGUUUACCACUUAAUGUGUGUGCACAUUGUUGUAGGAUCCAGUAUUACUGGCUUCCAGCAGGAUGCAGCACCAAGGAGUGGCCUAAAUGUUACACUGCAAUACAUAGAUCAAUAAAGAACGCCUGCUUCAACAAACUGUUCAAAGACAGUAUCUCAAGCCUGCUUUCUUUCCUCUUUAAGAGUAUGUAUGUGAAGCUACACAGCAGUACUUUUAUUUUGAUCUU